This is a long non-coding RNA of Grus americana (Whooping crane), 3996 nucleotides long. RefSeq lists it as uncharacterized. The transcript is spliced from 3 exons. The record is from RefSeq and is a predicted model, not a curated record. NCBI's taxonomy places the organism in Eukaryota, Metazoa, Chordata, Aves, Gruiformes, Gruidae.
UGGUUUAGAGCAUAACGCCAUGGGAUGUGAAAGCAGACAUCAAAGUGGUAACUGAUGGGAAAGUUUUUUCAGUACAUUGUGCUAGCAAAUGCACAGGAUAUGUUCCAAAAUUGCUGCUCUCCUCCAUUCUACUUCAGGCUUUUCAGCAGACAAGAGCAAUAAGCACCCUGAUGCUUCUGUGUUACCACUUCUUGCAAGACACAGAAUAUCAAUAUGGACCCUCAGACUCCUAAGUGCCGUUCUGAGGAAGGAACUAUGGCUGCGUCAUGUGAAGUACACCAAGUUAGAAGUGGUUCAUCCCAGUGGCUGGUGGCAAUCCCAGCAACAUGUUGUCGGUGAACCAAGCAGAAAUGGAACUGCCAUUUUUUAAAUAGAAGGUUUUUGAUGGAGAUUUAUGGGACUGGUCGUCGUCUUCAACAUCCUCUUGUCUCAGUUGCAGUUUCCUAGAAGCAAGCAUAUUCUUCACAACAUUUUUCACAAACAAACCUUAUAAUUUCCCUUUUCACAUUAUUGAUUCCAAGCAUUUCUUGGAGACAUCUGCAGACAUUGUUGAAAGCACUGAAGUCAAUAGCAAGCUUGGGCAGAAGAGUAGACCACAGGUGAACUGUACUAUAAAGGAUUGUAAACAAACUCUGAUGCUGCUCUUACCAACCAAGAAAUAGAACGGAGCUAUAGCCCUCAUGUCUAUUUUAUCUUUCCAUGUGGCAAGAAGACUUAGUAGAUCUGAAAGCAGUUAAUGAAAGCAGUAUAAAACUAAAUCUACUGUAGCUUGUGGUCAGCCAAAUAUGCAGUAAUAUGCUUGUUAAAAUCAACAAUAACUACUUGGAAUUGGCCAAGAAACAUACUACUUUGGAAGGACUUGAGGAUCAUAUAUAGGAAAGGAACAAGACCAAAAUGUUGCAUUAGGGGGAAAAUUAAAUAGCGGAAGAAAAAGCAGUGGGGUUUCAGAUAUGAUUUUUAGCUAUGAUUUUUUUUAUGUAGCAAUUAGAAUGGGAGUCAGGAAAUAUCUCUAUAAUCACUGACAUGAUCUCAGGCAAAACAGUUACCACCUGGAGUUCCAGUGUUCCUACCUGUAAAAUCUGAGAAACACCUGGAAAUUCACAAGGAAGAGGUUAUAUAUAUAAUGUCUAGAUCAUACUGUUUAGAAGGACUCUACCUAUGGGCAAUAUGUGGUUCUUCACUCAUUGGCCCAGCUCCUUCUGAGAUUAAAGAUUAAACUAAAACCAGCAGCUCACAUUUUAGUCCCUCAGAAUUGUAAGGGUCAGGAACAUGCAACUGCAUUUGGAGCUGGAGGGAACCUAAAGGAAAAAGAAAUCCUUUGAAUUAACAAGUAAAAGAGAUGUCAUAUGGCUGUGAUUUUGGCCUGCUGGUUAAGUUAUGCAGGGUGCACGGAGUACUAUCUGCUCUCGUAGGAAAUAGCUGUCAAAUUGAGUAGAAGAUAUUCUACAACAGCAUAUGAUGGAAAGAUUUGCCAAAUUUGCCUCUACUUUUUCCCCUUAGUUUUGACUAUCUUCAACAACUUUCAGGUUUUAGAGGAACAGGGAAGACAUUUUGAAAUGUCGAUAUUUGCAUUUCUCUGUCAGAACCUCGCAGCGUUGAGCAGCAGUAGCAUCACAGAGCUCUUCCCAUGUCCUCUCCCAUUGCACUUUUCAUCUCUUGCUGAGGACAAAACUUAGGAUGAGCUUAUGGUUUUGCUGCUGUUGCUGAAGUUGUCAAAAAAACCAGUCUUAGUCUCUGGGUGUACUUCAGCAGUCCAUUUAUCCAGCUGAAUUAAACAGCUGAAGCUCUGCUGAUUUCAGGAAAAUCAAUAAAGAUGUGACAAUUUGCCUUGGCUGAUGAGAUGGCCUGGGAUACCACUUUCAAUGCCAAGCGGGAACUCAGUCUGCUGACAAAGAGCUGUCAGCAUGUCGUAGUGUUUGUAAGAUUCGUUGCAUAAUGUCACUUAAAGAGAUGGUAAGGGGAAAAGGAGACACCGAAAAGUAGCGGCUGUGGGCAGAAGGCCAGAAGCAGUCAUUUCACUGCCAUAUCCAUUAAAAGAAAAGGGGAAAAACACAUCUGUGGCAGCUAAAUUGGUAUAAUAAAGUCAGCAGAUGAAAGCAAAAAGAUCAGAAGAAAAGAAACACAAAACAUAGAAAAAUGAAACUGGAGAAGUUUAAACGUGCUUUUUAUUUCCGGAAGUUUUCAAUGGAAUAAGAGGUAGAGGAAAACAUUUUAUUAAAAAAAUAUGAAGAGUAGAGACUCUUUCCUCCUCGUGCGAGGAAAUUGCUCACAGAAGGAAGCCAGGGUUGUAGCACAGCGUAUGCCUCUGCACUCCCAGCCAUGAGGAAGAGAUCCCGUCACAAGUGAGACCAGGGCAUGGCUGGUGCUGGAAAAUGUCUGAGGAGGUGCCAUGAUUCCCAGCAGUUCUGUUUCUUUUGCCUUUAGGAUGACACUUUUUAAAAAAGAACUUCCAACUACUUUUCGCGAAUGACUUCAUGGCACAUUUCACAAACAUGUUGAUCCUUGUGUCCUGGCAAAAUUCCAGUUUGGGUAAUUGCAUCUGCAUCGGGUAAUUACAUCUGCAUAAGCUCAGCGAGAGAUAUCAUCCAGAGCACAGGACGAAUCCUGCACACAAGCUGCUGCCUUCAACUUUAAAAAGAGAUCCUGAAGUUUGUGUAUUGUUAAAUGGUAUUGUAGUUUUUAACCCAAGGAUGGUAAUGGUAAAAUCAGGGUGACUAUGUUGCUGCUUGCUUAUGGUAUGCUAAUCAGUUGAAGUCUGCGGAGUACUUCUACAUCCUUCAGGGUAAAGACAGUCCCGGAAAUGUAUGCUACUUCACAAUGAAAAGAGUAGGGUGCAUAUAUUAGGAAACGUAAAGAAAAGAGAAGUAGGAAAGGUUAAAGCUAUAGAAGAGAUUAGAGGAGAGAGGGAGAGAGGCUGACUGGAAGAAAAAUGGCAAGGAAGAAAAAUUAAUUGCACACAUUCAAUGUCACAUCCAAGCUACUACAAAUAGUCUGUGAUAUUAUUAUUACAAGAAAAUAUUAAAAAAAAAUACUAAAGGCUCACAUAAAAUCCAGUGUUCCCAUUGUAUUUUAAGGCUAUUAAUAUACUGCUAUACAUUGCACUUAAAAUACAGAAGCAGAACUUUGCUUGCUAUUAUUCAAAUACAAGUAAUGUUUGAUGGCUGUCAUGAAGUUCCAGUGUGUAUCCUUAUAUAAGGUGAUAUUUGAAUUCACAAGACCUCACUGAAGUUCGGUCCAGCUGACACUGAGAUUUUCUCAAAGUAUUUGUAAAUAUACUGAGCUCGUGAACACAUUUAUCCGUAUUAUUGUAAAGGAAAUGCACUUAUUUAUGAAACACUGAGAGUUUGCUUAUAAAUAGCUAAUUAUAUAUUCACAGCUGACAUCAUCAAUAGAACAGAUACAUUUUAGCCAGUAGAACUGGUACUGCUCUGAUCGCUGUCAAUUUAAUUCAUGGAUCACUGACAUGUCAAUGUACAAUUGUGUUAGCAGAGGGAGUUUAGGGAACGCAGAAGUAAUGAAUUCUGAAAGGGUGUAUUGCAUAGGAUACUUUUUUGGGAGGACUGCUGAAGAACAGGACUGUGGAAGGAAGAUACCUUGGUAAAAUAAGUUUUUGAUGCAUGGUCAUCUGUCAGUUAUUGCAAUGUCAGAACUGGGCAUCUCCUCUUCUAAUGAAAUAAAUCCAAAUAAAAAAAACCUCUGAAUAUAAAUAGACUAUUUGCACUUAAUUCAUUUAAGUCUAGCCUACCUGGCUGCAUCUGGUUCCAGAAAAUGGAAUGAGCCACUCAGAGCAGUCCCAUGUUUUCUCUAUGGUGGCUUUAGCCACUAAUCUAUUGUUUAAGAGAAAGAAGGGGCAGAACAACUCAUAUUUCUCCCCUUUUAUUGCUGUCCUGUAAAAUGUAAGUGAUGGCCAUGGUUUUGUUUCCCAUGACUACAAUUAGUCAUAUUUAGAGCAUCCACCUCAUCAGAUGGGUAAAAAUCUGCUUUGUGGAUUCUGUU